GUUCGACCACUGAACCCUGAGUCAAGCAACUCCUCCCAAUCCACUUCCUCUUCUUCAACCUCUUUUUCUCGCAUCACCUCCAAUAUCCUCCUCACCUUUUCUUUAGCCUUCUCGCUCUUCAUUUUCUCCAUCUUUUGCAACAUUUCCACAACUCCAACCUCCUUUGCCACCGCCUUAAACCUCAAUCCGCCAUGACUCAAUGCAUGCAAAACCGCAACACAACUCUCUUUGGUCGACUCAGACUCCAACUCGUUCCCACACAAUAAACCCACCAAACACUCCACAACACCUGCAUCCAACAUAGCAGCCCGACCAUCCGAUCCAAACCCUAAAUUACCCAACAUCAACAAAACUUGAUCCAUCAUAUGACCCGACUUAACCAUCCCCAACAAAACCGAAACAAACCCUAGCUUAACCAUCUUAGCCCGAUUACUCCUCACUAAAGACAAAUGACAAAGUGCCAAACCCGAGUCAUGGCGCGUCUUUUCACUCUCUGAUUUAAGCGCGUGAAGCAAUGGCAAAAGAGCACCUAAAACACCAAUCGCAGUUUUAUUAUCAUCAUCAAGCGCUAAACUAAACAUCGCACACGAAGCAUGUUCCUGCGAUUCACACGAUCCAAACCUCAAAACCUCAAUCAACGGUGGAACAAUUCCUGACCGGACUAUCUUCACUUUGUUAACUUUCUCAAGUGAAAGGUUGACCAAUGAAGCAAGUGCAUUGACUCUUACAACCUCGUUCUUAGACAAAAUCAAAGAACGCAGAAAACAUAGUACCCUAUUGCUGCAAAGUUGAACUCUACUUUCCAAAUUCGUUCUUGUGAUUUUUCUGAGUGAGAUUAAACCUUCUUCUACUAUAACCAAUUCAUGGUUUCUGAGUUUUGUUACUAUUUCUUCUUCUUCCGGUGUUGUUGAAGGUUCAAGUUCAGAUGAAGAAGGUGAAGAGUAACAGAAACUUUGAAGCUGUGGUGGUGUUGUUCUUGUUGAUGAUGAUGAAGUGACAGUAGCUAUAGAUUCCUCUGAGCUUGAGUAGGAGGUUUUUCGUGGUGUUAACAUUGAUAUUGGUCGUGUUUCUUCUUCUUGGUCGUUUUUAUUUGAUACGAGGUUGUUUUGGUUACGCUGAUGUUGUUUUGAAGACAUUAGUUUGAGUACGAGGUUGUUUUGAUUCUGUUCAUGUUGUUUUGAAGACAUAAGUUUGAGUACGAGGUUUUCAGUGGUUGUUAGAUUUGGAUUGGUUUGCAUUUUGGUUUGGGUUUGAGUCCAUUUGAGAAUGGAGGAUUUGAGGUUAAGAUUUGGUAUUAAUGUUGUGAAAUUUGGGGUGGUGCCAUCAGCAAGUUGGGGGGUGUAGUUGAGAUUUUUACAUGCUUGUACUGAGGUUCGGUCAAAGGAAUGACCAGAGGAGACAAUUACAGGAUCAGACAUGAGAGAACCUGAAAUGGGGCAUAGAAAUUCUUGAGGUGGGUUUUGGUUUUGGGUAGCUUUUGUUGUGUUGAAGAAAAUCAUCAUUUUCUUCCAUUUCAUCUUUGGAGUAGUAGUUGCAAUUGGUUCUAAUGAUUUUGAUUCCUUUUUGGAACCACCCCAUUUCUUGUUUGUGUUUUUGUGAAUCUCCAUGAAAUGGUUCAACUUGUUUGUGUUUUUGUGUGUUUCAAUAAGGUUGGUAUCUUUCGUUUUGGGGGGGUGUGAAGAACAAGUUGUUUAGAGAGAUAAGAUUAAGGUUAAGGAAGAGUGGAGAUUCCAUCUUGAAAAUUUGUGGUUAGAACUUUGAACUCAAAUGAGAUUGAGUUGAAGAGAGUCUUAAGACAAAGGGAAAGGUUGAUUGUGAAAGAAGAGAAGAAGAUGAGUUGAGGGGUAGCAUGGACAUGUUAGUGUAUUGGCUUUUUAGUUGUUGAUUGGGUGAGGAAAGAAAAAAGGAGUGAAUGGUUGUGUGAGGAAAAUGAUGAUGAUUUGGUGUUGGAGUUGAAGGAAAGGUUACGGGGGAAUGGAGAGUUUUGAUUGAUUCCUUUUGCUUUAUGAAAAUAUAAAUGUGAAAAGCUUAUGAGGUUGGUGAUUAUGUUCCUAAGAAACUCAUAUUU
RNAcentral lists this long non-coding RNA (2068 nucleotides) under Medicago truncatula (barrel medic). Its description in RNAcentral is "lncRNA gene34130". Lineage: Eukaryota; Viridiplantae; Streptophyta; Magnoliopsida; Fabales; Fabaceae. The record is from RNAcentral.